CUCUCCGGGUAGAUCCAUGACCGUCCUGGUGCUCGGCGGCUCCCCGGUGCUCUGUUCUCCGGCGGCUGCGGGAGAGCCGUGGGGCGAGAAAGGGGAGCGUCAAGAGAGAGAGAGAUCCGUGCGUCACCGCUGUGCGUACAGCAGGAGCGAGAAGACAUGUGUGGAGGAGACCGACGCUUCGGGUUUUCGCAGGCCGGCCAGACUAAACGACUUAACGAGUUCAGACUGAGGAGAAAGCCCCGCGGAAAGUUUGAAGCGGAGUUUAAACUUCCAGGUGGUUUACGGACCGGAGGGUUGGUGUGAAUUCAGGCCGCAGUGGUUCAUUACAAGCCGGUCUGUGUAGCCGCCUUCUGCCCGCGUCCAGAGCCGCCGACCGCCGGGCCACUUCACUGUUCAACAAGAGGAGUUUCGCUCCGCGGUGUUUCCAACUUGGCUUCCUCCCACUCGCCUCCUGUGUGAUUUUUUUUUUUUUUCAACACGAGCAUCAAGUGGGCUGAGCAAACACACUGGAGCUUCCGGUGCCCGUAACCGACCUGGGAUAAAGAAUACAACAGUGCGACCCCCUGGAUCAAACUGAUCACUUCACCUGCUCACAAACAGCUCGAAGAACCACAAUAUCCUGAUUCAUUGCAAAAUGAUCCCAUCUGGCCCUUAAGAAAUGUCAUUUCAAUGAUAAUGAUUAUAAUAAUCAUAAUUCUAUACACAUACAAUCUCCAUAAUAGUUUGCCCUGUGAUUCCUGUAUGUAUCUAGUGUGCACAUAGGGCCUAAUAACUCAACUUUAUAGAUGAAUAUAGAGGUUUUUUUUAAUUUAAUGCUGUUAUAUUACAAUCAACCCAGCACAUUCUGCAGUUUGACAGGUGAUAAAUGGCUCAAACCCAGUGAGUCCCGCCCAUGCAAAUACAACAUUCUCACAAGGGGACUGCCCCCUUUGGCACCACGGUAGUACUGUGUGUGGGACUGGUGCCAUGUUGCUGGUCCAGCUGGCACCUUGACGGCUGACAGAAACAUGCAGUCAACCAAGCUUAAACGAUUAAAGGGUCAAACCAAGUGUAACCUGACGAUAGGCAGGGGCUGUGGUAAAUAAGGGAGGGAACAAAAUUUAUUCAAAAACCUGCCAGCCACUUGCUUAUUCUCUAUGAAUGCCUGACUUAUGAGGGGGCAGGAGGACUACAGCAGGAAGUAGGAACUACAACCAGCACCACUUCUUUCAUUUGAAGUUUCUGAGGGGCUUCGGGUCAACUCUCAAGCACUAAUGAACUACUGAGUUUUUCUUCCAAGACAACUGAGAGAAGGAGCCUGUCAGCUCUCGGCACAAGGAAACCAUCAUGGGAUCGGUUAAUUCAAAGCUCCCGCAGUUCCUAAAGGGUUCAGGCUCCACAUUAAAGCUCUGACAUAUACUGAGAGAUUACCAGUGAGCGGAGAAACCCCGGGCUGACUUCUACCAAGAGUGGGGGGCCGGGGGAACUCUGGGAGACACAUCACAUCUUGGCAAGGCAUCAGCGUUCACAGGGUUCCCACACUCACUUUGAUACUAACGUUUAAGAUCUUGCUCGGUGGAAUUCAGUGUAAUAUAAUCUGCAGGUGUGGGGACAGGGCAAAGCAGAACACUGGUCAAUCCAGUUAUUUAAAUGCUUUAAACACAAAAAUGAGAGGCCUGUAGGGAAUCCACAAAGUCGCCGCACACAUACGAGUAAAUGA
This is a long non-coding RNA of Morone saxatilis (striped sea-bass), 1699 nucleotides long. RefSeq lists it as uncharacterized. Lineage: Eukaryota; Metazoa; Chordata; Actinopteri; Moronidae. The transcript has 3 exons. The record is from RefSeq and is a predicted model, not a curated record.